Molecule: non-coding RNA, 326 nt
Organism: Manis javanica (Malayan pangolin)
Lineage: Eukaryota; Metazoa; Chordata; Mammalia; Pholidota; Manidae
Source: RefSeq, a predicted model, not a curated record
GUUCUCCUUCCAAGUUCAGAAUAUUGAGAAGGGACAGCAUCUGGAUCAAAUGAUGACAGGAUCUUACAAGAAGAUAUUUCAAGGGGCUAGAUCUUGUUGGUGAAACUUUCUCCAGCGGGAUCCACUUUGAGAGGGAGAUUGGGCACGAUGGGAAAGGCACCGUGUAUAAAGCUGGCCACUGGCUCACUCCAACCAGGGUGUCUCAGUAAAUCAUUGUGAAUUAAUGCCAGCUGUUACAGAUAAACUGGGGUUACUCAGUGGACUGGACCAUCCUUCUUGAAACAUCUUACAUGUCGCCUGAUGAGUGUGCAUUGUUAUUCUGCAGG